AUUCCUCGAGAUGGUCCCCAAAUAAAAUGUAGACCAGUGGCCUGAUUUGGGACGGCAGCCAAGAGUGGGUGAUGAUCCUUCUGUGGAUUAUAUAGCUUUUCUGACUCAGACCCCCAGCUGGAGUGAUGAGGCUUAUUUCUUACAGCUUCCUAGGUUGACACAACCUCAUCCCCAGAUUUCAUGACUCUCUUUCACCCAUAGGGGAUGGAUCCCAGAUAACUUGAUAGACUAGAUCAUGUUCUUUGUAAAUUAAAAUACUAAGGGAUCGAGACUGUCCAAUUUCCUCAGACUCAUUGUAAAAUCAUGACCUGUCGAGAAAACAAAUUUCCAGCUCUAAUGUCUUAAUGCCUUUAGUGCUCCCUGUCACCCUCUCCUUUUCUUCUUCCUUUUAAUCAUCCUCUUCUCAUCCACACCUGACCCUCUCCUGCUCCUGUUCAUGCCACAACAUUUACCCAUUCAUCUGCUCCCCUGCUGGCAUAGACAUUUAUUGGUCUUUCACUUCAUCUGGUUACUCGGCUCCAUCAAUCAUCGAUGUACCAAUUUAUUUCUCCAUCAGCUAACCACUCACCUAUUCAUUCACAUAUUAUUUCCUCAUUUAUCUAACCCUUAUUCCAUCUACUCACUCAUGCACCUCCCUAAUAUGACCAUUCCCCACCUAUUAUUUUAAACCAUCUAUCCAUUCUUCACCUGCCAAUCCAUCCAGUCAGCAUCCUCCAACUAGCCUUUAGCAGAUAUACCUAUACAUCAACUCACUUCAAGGUAAUGGAAAUCUUUGCUGUUAUCUCUCCAUUUUGCAAGGGAAGCUUUAUCUAGUUAUUCUUAAGCACAGCAGCUAAACGGUAGGAUGCAUUUUCAUUAUCUUUGCCCAAAAUGCACCCUAUUAAAAACACAUACAUAGAGAAGUGCUCUAGAAAAUUAAGGGCAUAUUUCUUCCUAUCAGGAUGUAUCCCAAUAGGCAGAGGAUAGAGAGUUGGGGGUGCAGUGGAAACACCCAGAUGAGCAGAUGUUGAUGUUUAACUAACACUAGGAAUGCAGGCAAGCAAUGAAUAUAACAAACAACUGAGGAAAUAGACAGGAAAGAUCUCCACUGGCAACCAUUCUUUCUUUUCUGUUUGAUUUUCUGUUGCGUAAAUUACCCAUUUUGAUGAAAAUUAAAGGAUGGACUAAUCGGUACCAAAUCCUAUGAUCAGUUUUAAAAGCCAACACUCUCCAGUUACAAAUCAUGUUCCCUUCUUUUAACAUGUUCAUUUGUCCAUUAGGAAGCUCCCUUCCCCCUUAAGUGUUUUUCAGUUAUUCAUUUAUUCAUUCAUGCACUGAAUUUAGUAAAUAACUCCCUUAAGGGGUUCACUUCUAAAAUGUGAAAACAGCUGUAUACAAAGAAAAAGUACAGUAUCAUAUUGUGACCCUAAGGUGAGAGAUAUGAGCAGGUGGCUGCAGAGGAAGCAAAUUUGGGGAGAUAACUUGGAAGCUUCCAUCCCCUGGCCCCAUUCCAGGGAUUCAGACAGCUAAUUUAUGCAGUGGUUAUACUGAACAGAUAAAUCACUGCAUAAGUAAACGGGGCACCAGGACCACGGGCAUUCAUUGCUCAAGUAUUGACUGGGAGAGUGAAGAAAUGUUGUUGGAGGAAUAAGCAUCUUGAAAGAGUUAAAACUCUUAAUGUCCAAAAGGCCACAAUGUGGUCUUGGUGAAAUCGCUGACACCACCUCCAGGAGAAGGACACAUACCAUCUAGAGAACAUCAAAUCUAGUUAGACUAUGAAGGCAUUUUUUUAAGGGGGGGGCGGUUACCAAGCAUUUUCCAUUGGAUCUCAAAUCUCCAUGAGCCUUUCUGAUGAGGGGAAGGGGAAGCAGAAGCUGGAAGCAUGUGUGGAGCUGAGACUUGAAGUGUGGACUGCAGAAAGAGUGAUCUUAUUGAAUAGUUUCCUCUAAACUGAGCUUCUCCAGGUAAGACCUGACUAAAACUCUGGGAUUUAGAAUGAAAUGCAUGAACCAUUAGCAUUUAAGUGUUUAACAGCAUCUCUUAUUUCAAAAUAAGAAUAUUUGUAGUUCUUACUGGUCCAUUAUUUGCUAUGUCCUAUAAGACAUAGUUGCUUCUAUUUAGUGCCAGUUCUUGAAGUAUUUUCUCUUCAUGUGAUCCUCAUUCUGGACUUAAGUCUUGCCUUCAUUAAUAUGGUGGGAAUAAUACUCACCUCAGAAGACUGUGAGAAUUUUAGGUGUAAUGGGCAAGGGUGUUUACCAUAGGACCUAUUACACCUUGGUUGCAAAAUAAACAUUUUUUGGAGUUUUUUCCCUCCUAUUUUUCCCUCAGCCUUCCCUUGAUGUUCCUACUUGCUUGAUCUUCUAUAAGAUAUAAUCUCAAGGGUGUAUCCUUCAGAAAAUGAAAACAAAAUAUUUUCUAAGUGAUUUAUCUAUUGAAGUUUAAAAAGAAAAAGAAAUGUCUGAGUAUUGAAUUAAUCAAGGACACAAGCUUAGAAAGUGAGACAUUUUUUGGAAGACACCCCAGAGGGAUAUUGAAAAAAAACAGAGAAAGUAGAAGUUAAUUUUCAACCUAAUUAACAUAUAUCGAUAGCUAUAUAUAUAUGAAAGUACUGAGGGUACAGACACGAGAGACAGAAGAUCUGUCCAAGAAAAUCCCAGUCCAGUGAUGGAUUUUAAAUGGUAGCACAACAUGGUAGGUAGCGUCAAGGGUUGGCAGAGCCCAGAAGAGGGCACAGAGCCAGAUGGCAGGGUUCAGCAGUCACUCCCAGAAGGUGAGGUACCUGAUCUGAGUCUUGGAGAGGAAGAAAGAAUUAGCCAGGGCAAGGGAGGGGAAUGACUAAUGGUAGAUGUUCAUCCUUGAUGAAUCUGUGUAAGCCUGAGAAGCAUUGCAAUGUCAAGACCUUCCGAGUGCAGAUUGUUCCAUGAAACAUGAGGAUAGAGGUGGUGCAGCAGGAGAUAGGAGAUGUCUGCAAGAAAGGCUGAGAGGUUGGGACUUGCCCUAAAGGAGAUAGGGGAGGUAUAGAAGGAUGGAAUCAGAAAAGAGGCCAGAUCAUAUUUGCUAUUUAGAAAGAUCUCCAUGGCAGGAGGAUGGAUUAACCUGCAUCGGUCAAGCUUGGAAAUGAUGAACAUGUUAGGGGUCAUUAAAUUAAAUCAGUUAAGGGAUGCCAAAGAGUAACAUGAAUCAAGCAAGUUGGGGUGAAUUUUAGGAGGUGAAUCAAAGGAGAAGGAUUGGGUACCUCGGGUGAUGGAGAAUGGAAAUAGGAGGCAUAUUCCGGGUUUCUGAGUCAGCCAACUGCGAAGGAGAUGGUACAAUUCUAUGAUGCUGGAAAUUAAGGAGGAGGGGGAGGUCCCGUCCAAUUUUUGCUGUAUUCAUUCGCAACCAUCCUUAGAACUUCCAGGUGGAGGGAUUUCAGCACCAUCAGCAUUUUCCUGAGUCAUCUAAUUAUAUCCUCAUCAUCUACAAGGAGUGCCUGAUUUCCUUCCUUUCCUCUGCCUCCCACUUGAAUUCCAUAGGAACGCAAGCUCCCUGGAUCAUCUGCACAUCAUUUAUCACCCUCCAUUUCCUCUGUGUCUUGAUUUUGUCACACAAAGACAUUGCUCAUUGUGAUAGUAGGGGAGAGAGCAGUUCUCUGAUUAGGCAGGUCAAGAAGUAAUAGAUUUAAGUGGGAAGGGGGAAACGGGCACAGCUGUCCCACCACCCACACGGGUUCUGGCAAGUCUCACACUGAAUGCAAGGGGCCAGAGCACUAUCCACUGGAUGAUGGGAGAAUAACUGGGCAACGAGAAUUCAUCUCUCAUAUGUGUUAGAGUCAGGCAAGUCCUCUUUGUCUUUUUACCAUAUUGUUUGAUGCUCACUUGCUUGUAGACAACAUUUCACAAAGGUUUCUAAGUAUUCAGACCUCAUCAGAGAGCUAGUUCUGACUAAGAAGAAUACAUUUAUUUCACUUGAAUGAUUGAAGAAUAUGGAGCACUUUUAGCUCUGUUCAUCUUUUCCCCACUGAUCCUGGAGAGACUUUCCUAAAACUAGGAAUGGCUGGCUCUCAGCAGGAAGCACAGUUCUGCUGCAUCUCCAGGCAACAUGGUUUUCUGGGCGGUCCCAUCAGUGUGUGUCAACACUCAGCCAUGUGAGCUGAGCCCAUGUGUGUGCUUCUCUGAGGUGAGAUAGCAGGAUCUGCCCAGUGAGGAGAACAGAGCUGAAGUCUGAUUCUGCCACGUGAGCGUUUUGUGCCUGUGAGCUUGCAGCAAAGUCCUGACAGCCUCGGUUUCAUCGUCUGUAAAGCAUCGGAUGGGAAGGGCAGGUGAGGCCCUGACCAGAUUCUUGGCCCAGGGAGGUGGCCACGCAAUGAGGUUAACCUCUUCACCCUCUGCUCUGUCUUUUCCCUUUUCCAAGCCACCCCCAGAUCUACCACACAUGAUGGUGGAGAAGAUAUUGUGAGAGGAAUGGCUCUGCUUAAAGACAUCCUUGGAGCUGUCUUUAGGAUCACAGGAAAUCAACGUCUAAGCUCCUGGCCAAGUAUCCAGCUCCCAAAUGUCAAAUAAUAUCCACUACCCCGCACCUCGCCCCCUGCAAUGUCUCCACGCAAUCACUGGCAUUUAAGCAAAAGCACAGGGGACGUCUGUGGAUCCCUCAGUGCCUGGACCCCACUGGAUGGAGGAUGCUUUCCAGGUUGGCUGUUCCUGAAGAAGCAGCUGAGCUGGGCGCUACCCAUGGAGUCUUCUUCCUUUUUUGCUCUCGGCCUCAUUCCCUGCUGGGUGAAUUUGCAAGGAUGGUUGCUCUGGUUACAAGACCAAAUCACUUCACUUUCAGUCUCUUCCUAAGGUCUCAGGGGAAGCAGCUUAUUAGAGAAAUUGUGACUGCCUGGUAGCGUCAGCAAGGACAGUAAAGGGACUCCUGCGAGGUCCUCAGAGACUGGUCCACAAAGGCUCCAGUCCUUCUCUUGAUGAAGCUAGAGUCCCCAUCUCAGUGCUGUGCGAGUAGCGUGGACAACCCCAUCUGUGACUUCUCCUGUCUCACAUCUUCCACUUUGUGUGAUGGGACUCUGGGACCCCCGUCAGUCUGCCUGUUUGACUGUGCCCACUUUGAUGGCAAUUCCUUGUUGAGUUACUGACAGCAUCUCUAUUGUCCCUGCCCUGCUCUUCCCUGCACUGAUCUCUGUUCCAAGGGCAGUUUCCACGCUUCUCAACCUGCCCCUCUCCUUCUUCUAAUUCUUAAGAAACCUGAAAUUGCUGACGGAGAGCAUAAGACAAGAAGACGAUGGUGCCCGGGGGCAAAGAAUCCUGUCACAUAUGUGUGACACACAGUCACAGUGACAUCCACAGGUGGAUGUGACACUAGCCGGUCUAGCCCCUACACGAUAGACUUAUGACAACUGCGAUGUGUGUACAGCGGGGAGGCAGAUGGGGCUGGAGUGCAGAGUGAGGGUGAAACGCUGCUGUUUAUGUGCAUUGAAAUCAUGCAUAGAGCUAGAAGCCUACAUGUGUAUUUAUUUGUAUAAUAUUCAAACAACCUCAAGCAUGACACAUUGUCCUCCUGGAGCUCAGAGGCAUGGGCUAGAGGUUGUCACAUGGCUAGAGGUCAGAAGGGUUGGAAUCCACUUCCACAGCGGGUCCCUCUGACUCCAAACUCUGUGCUCUUUCAGUUCUGCACCAGCGGACCCCUGUUCCCAGGACACAGGCUCCAUCACUGAAGUCUGGGCACGUCCACCACCUUCAUGAGCUGCCAGAAGGGAAGGUGGGGGUUCCAUCUCUGGAAGGAGAAUGGCACCACGUCCCCAGACACUCUCCUCGCCCCGAGGGCAGGUCUAGAAAAUGGCUAUGCCCACAGGCUGAUCCUUUCUACUUUGCCAUCAAGGAACAAGCCCCUGGUUGAGUUGGUUUGGGUGGGUCUGUCCCUAAACCAGGCACACAUCUGAGCCCCUCAGAGAAACAACACACAGGAGGGAACCGUCGAUCCUACAAAAAACAGGAGAGAGGAAAGAAUUUAAUUCCAGCCUCCCGGGACACAACUGAGCAUCAUGUGUAGGAGGGAAUUACUUUUCCUUGUUUUCCAGUUGGGAUAAAACAAGAGAGAUCGCCAAGAAUCUCAGCCUAGGAAGACAGAUUAUGGAUGAAGAUACAGAGUCUACUCAGCCAAACUCGACCCCAUUCAGGAGACUGAGGACCACUGAUUUCCCAUAAAUAUAAAUGCCUAUGUGAAAAUGUCUGUCUGUCUCCACCUACUGAUCUGUCACGUCUGCCCUGUCACCCCCUACUGCCCCUAACUCAGUGACCACAGGCUGUUUGUGGGCUUGCUGUUUCCAAACACCUAUAACAGUGCCUGGCACAGGGUCAACUUCAGUAACUACUGAAUAAGUGAAUCCACGGCUUUUGAGCGGAGGAACAGCAUGAUCAAAACACCCCUGAACAGAGGCCUUGUAGAGAUACUCGGGGGGCCAAUGAAAGGGAGAAAGUCAACACUAGCCAGGUGGGGAGGGGGAGGCCUGGAGCUCUGUGCGGUCCCAACUGUUGAGGUAGGAGGACAUGGGUUGGAAAGGAUGGUGCAGAAAUGAGAGAUGCUAGGAGUUCCCAUCAUGGUGCAGUGGAAACGAAUCCGACUAGGAACCAUGAGGUUUCGGGUUCGAACCCUGGUCUCGCUCAGUAGGUUGAGGAUCCGGCGUUGCUGUGAACUGUGGAGUAGGUCUCAGAUGUGGCUUGGCUAUGGCAUUGCUGUGGCUGUGGCAUAGGCCAACAGCUGUAGCUCUGAUUCAACCCCUAGCCUGGGAAACUCCAUAUGCUGCAGGUGCAGCC
This 6764-nucleotide long non-coding RNA is filed under the name Sus scrofa (pig). RNAcentral describes it as "lncRNA (ENSSSCG00000062626.1)". Lineage: Eukaryota; Metazoa; Chordata; Mammalia; Artiodactyla; Suidae. The record is from RNAcentral.